UGCGCCUGCGCAAGCAGAAUCGCCGUGCCAGAGUUCUCUGCCAGCUGCUGUGCACUGCUGUCAGUGCAAAGAUGGGAUGGACAUUUUUUUUCAGAUUUUCUGCUGUUGUGGGAGUAUGGCAAGAGUUUGAGGGGGCGGAGAAAGGGAUUGGGAAUGUGAAAAGGGAAGAUAGCACCUGCGCUAAGCACAUUCCUAGGAUUGGGCCGCGUCUCGGGGAUGCAGAGUGGGCUCUUCCGCGCGCCCUGCAGCCAUAGGAGUGGACGCCUGCCCAGGCCGAGGGGCAAGGACUUGCGGGGUGGGGUCUCUGUGCAUGCGCGGAGCUGAAAGGGAGCGUUUUGCAGAUCUCCACGCGUGCGCAACUCUCGGGACGUGGACGCGGUGAACAGUUACGCACAAUCGUGUUUCUGACACAAACACACCCUGCCAGGUGGAAGCCAGGAUGGAGGGCAGGCCUCGCUUUCUGUCCCAGAUCCGCCAAUCCUCCGAUCCCUGGAUCCUCCAAUGAUGGCAUCAACUCUCUGGGCUACAGGCUGCUCUCCAAAGAGCAGCUGCCACUCUACACCAACCUUACUGUGGACAUAACUUCCAAGCCUCAGCAGACCCAGUGCCAAGCUGAGGGGUAUUUUAUCUGGAAGCCAGAACAGAGCCCCUGAGGCCAAGGUCACAGGGAAGCCCUCCUGCUCACCUCACCUGGUUUCUUAUUAAAGUAGAGUUUAUUUUAUCUCCUUUCUGCCAUCCCUAAUUCCUUCCAUCCAUCCAUCCAUCCAUCCAUCCAUCUUUCCCCUCCCUCCCUCCCUUCUUCUCCUCCUCCCCACCCCUGCUUCUUUUCUUUCUUUCAACUAUGUCCAGAAGGCCCUUCUUAACAAACACUAAUUAGUACAGGGAAAGGUCUCUUUAAGUGAAUGCAUUUAAAAUAGGGAGUCCACCUUUGUGGUAAAUAGUGUGCAUGACGUGAGUCUAGAUCAGGACUUCCCACUUGGUAACAGAAUUCAAUUUCUCAAAAUACCUUUAUUUCAGAUUUAAUGAAAUUCCAUGUUUGUUGAAUCGUUAAGAACAAGCAUUUGUGUUGUACUCACGGUGGACAGCCACCAUUCUAAUGCUUGACUUUACAUAAUUAACGCAUGUAAUCUGCAAAGGAGCCACAAGGUGAGAUCUAUUAUUAUUUCCAUUGUGCCACUGGAGAAAUUAAGGCAGAGAGGUUAAGUUGCUUGCCACCAAACUAGCGAGGGGCAGAGCUGGGAUGUGUAGCAUCCAGGUAGGCUGGCUCCAGAGCCCAUGAGCCUAACUGCUACUGUGCCCAACCUUUGUGCUAAUCCCCACAACAGUCAAAGGAUGGAUCGAGUACUGGUUUUGGGGGUGGGGGCAGGGGACUCCAGGCAGUAUGUUUUCUGAUCACAUCACAUGACAGUAGGACAUUCUUCAUUUCACUGUGGCUUUCACUGCCCAACAAUAAAAUGGUCAUGGGCACUUUGGGAGGCCAAAGGGGGUGGAUCAUGAGGUCAGGAAAUCAAGAUCAU
Molecule: RNA transcript, 1517 nt
Organism: Nomascus leucogenys (northern white-cheeked gibbon)
Lineage: Eukaryota; Metazoa; Chordata; Mammalia; Primates; Hylobatidae
Exons: 2
Source: RefSeq, a predicted model, not a curated record